UCUUUUUCGUAAAGCCAAAAGAUGGGACAAAAGAGUUUAUAGUUUUCUAAUAUUUUUCUGUCUAGUUACGUCUUUCAUCACCUCAUUGAGCCAUAUUCUCUAACCUUGGCUUCGUUUUUUGCCUCAUCUAUGCUUGGCCAAACUUUAAGCCCUCUCACACAGUGGCGGAGGUAGAAUUUCCAUUCAUGAAGGUCAAAAUGUAAAAAAAAAAAUUAUAAGGGUCAGUUAUAUAAUUUAGCAGGGGUCAGUUUGAUAAUUUUAAGCCAAAAUCAACUAAUUUUGAAAUUUC
This 289-nucleotide long non-coding RNA is filed under the name Capsella rubella. Its description in RNAcentral is "long non-coding RNA (CRUB_LNC001335)". The record is from RNAcentral. Lineage: Eukaryota; Viridiplantae; Streptophyta; Magnoliopsida; Brassicales; Brassicaceae.